UUCAGAAUAACACUAUUUAAGAAUGUAACUACAUCAGCUAGAAAGUUACAAAAUGGAUCUGUUUAAUUGAUCCAAAUGAUUCUCCUUAAAGCUAAAGCUAAAAAAGAGAUAAAAAUGGUAUCUGCAAAGCAAAAACUUCUUGGGAAUCAGAGUAUAAGAAGAGCCUACUGUACUUUAUGCUAUGCAGCAACCAUGAGAGGAGUAUAAACGAACGCCAUGGAGGUCAAAAAUGAAAUCCGCCAAAUCCCCCUCCCCCGCCUCCACCUGGAAAUCCUCCUUCAAAGUG
Molecule: unclassified non-coding RNA, 286 nt
Filed under: Hevea brasiliensis (rubber tree)
Lineage: Eukaryota; Viridiplantae; Streptophyta; Magnoliopsida; Malpighiales; Euphorbiaceae
Source: RNAcentral